This 527-nucleotide ribosomal RNA is filed under the name Bombus luteipes. Its description in RNAcentral is "partial 16S ribosomal RNA". The stretch from base 375 to 527 matches the Rfam family "Bacterial large subunit ribosomal RNA", at positions 2473 to 2626 of the family's 2925-position model. Lineage: Eukaryota; Metazoa; Arthropoda; Insecta; Hymenoptera; Apidae. The record is from RNAcentral.
GGCUUAUUGAUGUUAAUUUUAAGUCAAUCUGCCCAAUGAUUAAUAAUUUAAUGGCUGCAGUAUAACUGACUGUACAAAGGUAGCAUAAUCAAUUGUUUUUUAAUUAAGAACUGGAAUGAAAGAAUUAAUGAGAUAUAUACUGUCUCAUAUAUAUUUAAUUAAUUUAAAUUUUUAGUAAAAAUGCUUAAAUAAGUUUAUGGGACGAUAAGACCCUAUAGAAUUUUAUAUUAAUUUGUAGAUUAGUUGAUAUUUUAUUGAUUAAUAUUUAGUUGGGAGGAUUGAUAAAUUGAAUGAACUUUAUCUUUAAUUUAAACUUUGAUAUAAGAAUUAGUGAUGAUCUUGUAUUAUUGAUUAUAAGAAUAAAUUACCUUAGGGAUAACAGCGUAAUAUCUUUUUAAAGAUCGUAUUAAUAAAGAUGAUUGCGACCUCGAUGUUGAAUUAAGAUAAAUUUUAAAUGAAGAAGUUUAAUAAUUAAGUCUGUUCGACUUUUAAAAUCUUACAUGAUUUGAGUUCAAAUCGACGUGAGU